ACAAAAAUGUCAUUCAUCAUCACCUUUGCCAAGCAUGGUGGCAGAAGUGUUCAUUCUGCCUCUGUUUUACUGUAAUUUGUUGCAAGUCCUGUGGAAACAAGAAACUAAACACUUAAGGCCUGUGAAUUCUGUGGAAAGGUGAGAGCAGCUUGGGGCGGUGCCCAGGCAGUGUGCUGGGCUCUGGGCACCUCAGUGGUGCUGGCUGGUGUGGGUGAGGCAUGAGGGUCCUGGGGUGGCUGGGCAGCAGGGGUGUGGGCAGGAAGCCAAGAGGGACCAUGCUCCCAGGCAAGCUGAGGGGGUGGAUGGCGGAAAGAAGAUGAGGUUCUAGGGAUCUGGAGAGAACUCCUCAGAGAUUGUUAUAAACCCUGAUAGCACUGGAGUUGUUGGACUUGAAAACAGGAUAGAGAAAAGGAACCAUUCUGCAGUCUUAGAGGGCAGAGGGGAGAUUUGUUUUCAAUCUUUUUGUAUCUUUAAAGCAUUUAUUUUUCUUGCAUUUGAAUAUAAACCAGCUUUGUAACUAAGCACUUGUCUUGUGCACUCAUCUUCAAGGAAAUGGGAGAGCACUUCUGCGGCCUCCACAGCAAUUUGUUAUACCAACUGUUAGCACAGAUGGGAAUGGUUUAACCUCAGAUAAUACAACUUGUGGAGGAAUAGUCAAUAAAUACUCAUUUAAGGAUCAGUCUAGGCAAAACAAUUAAGUGGACUUCAGUAGGAAUCUGUGGAAUAGCUAAGAAACAUGACCAGGCAACUCAGAUAUCACUUCAUUGUCAAAAUAAUUUCACUUGCGGAGACAAAGAUCUAUGAAGCUUCCAUUAUGACAAAUUCUGUUCCCAGCUUCACAAGCACUGCACAAAAAGCACACAACAUGUUGCAUGUGUCCAGAACUGCAGUGAGAACCUCUUCAUUUAAAUGUAUUUGUCCUAUUCAAGUGAUUCAGCAUGUAAUUAAGGUCUAUCGCGUUAUAAAAAUUAGCCACAGAUCACCAUUUGUUACAAGUGUGACUCACGGGGGCUAAGCCUGUUUAAUAUUCUGUCUGGCAGCAAAAUGUUCGAGGGCAGAAUCCAGAUCAAUACACACAAUUUUUUUUCAGUCUUCCCUGCGGUAGCAGUGUUGUACAUUUUGGCAUCUCUGUCUUGCCAACUGCAAUGAAAGAAAUUGUCAUUCAAAAUAAGACCGAUUAAAAACUGAUGUCCU
Molecule: long non-coding RNA, 1194 nt
Filed under: Anser brachyrhynchus (Pink-footed goose)
Lineage: Eukaryota; Metazoa; Chordata; Aves; Anseriformes; Anatidae
Description: lncRNA (ENSABRG00000020044.1)
Source: RNAcentral